GCCUGUGUGGCAUAGUGGUCUGAGUGUUGGACUAUGACUCUAGAGACCAGGAUUCAAUUCCCACUGGCU
Molecule: non-coding RNA, 69 nt
Organism: Phrynosoma platyrhinos (Desert horned lizard)
Lineage: Eukaryota; Metazoa; Chordata; Lepidosauria; Squamata; Phrynosomatidae
Source: the annotation of a GenBank genome assembly